AUGGCUGCCUAGAAACACCUGCAGUUGGAGGCUCCCACUGAGAAGAAAGAAAACGGCAAGUUAAUCCUAAACCGGCAACUGAGGUUCUCUCGUUGGGACUGACUAGACAGCGCAACAUAUGGACAGCGGAGAAAAAGCAGAGCGAGUUAUGGCCCACCAGGGAGCAGCAUGGGGCAAGGGGAGCUCCCAUCCCCAGUCAAGCAGGAGAGCCAUGGAGAAAGAGAGAUGGAAUCACGGAGAAUGGGAGAUUGGCUUUGCCCUGAAGAGAAAAUGCCCGCAGUGUGACUUGUUUUCCCAUGUUUGCCAGUUCAGCUGAGAGUACAAAAGGAAGCCUACAACACAUCGGACUACCUGGGCUUUCCUCCUAGUGUCAGAGGGGCUUGUAAGAUAGGAUCACCUUUGGGGGAAUCUGGAGCUGUCUAUAGGAACCUCAUGAUGUCUGCUAACUUAAAGUCGUGUUUAAUUGAUUAUGAGGCUUUCAGCUAAGGAGCCUGAGCUCUCUGGAAAGUGUUCUGUCAAUUCCUGCAAAAGCCUUGCAUCAAGCAAACUAUAAAUCCCUAGCGGUAACAUGGAAG
RNAcentral lists this long non-coding RNA (575 nucleotides) under Homo sapiens (human). RNAcentral's name for it is "HSALNT0075923". The record is from RNAcentral. Lineage: Eukaryota; Metazoa; Chordata; Mammalia; Primates; Hominidae.